GACGAACGCUGGCGGCGUGCUUAACACAUGCAAGUCGAGCGGUAAGGCCCUUUCGGGGGUACGACGAGCGGCGAACGGGUGAGUAACACGUGGGUGACCUGCCCUCAGCUCUGGGAUAAGCCUGGGAAACCGGGUCUAAUACUGGAUAUGACUCCAUGACGCAUGUUGGUGGGGUGGAAAGCCUUGUGCGGCUGAGGAUGGGCCCGCGGCCUAUCAGCUUGUUGGUGGGGUGAGGCCUACCAAGGCGACGACGGGUAGCCGGCCUGAGAGGGCGACCGGCCACACUGGGACUGAGACACGGCCCAGACUCCUACGGGAGGCAGCAGUGGGGAAUCUUGCGCAAUGGGCGAAAGCCUGACGCAGCGACGCCGCGUGAGGGAUGACGGCCUGGUGU
Molecule: ribosomal RNA, 394 nt
Filed under: uncultured bacterium
Lineage: Bacteria
Description: bacterial SSU rRNA
Rfam family: Bacterial small subunit ribosomal RNA
Source: RNAcentral